Molecule: long non-coding RNA, 588 nt
Filed under: Equus caballus (horse)
Lineage: Eukaryota; Metazoa; Chordata; Mammalia; Perissodactyla; Equidae
Description: lncRNA (ENSECAG00000045570.1)
Source: RNAcentral
AAGGAAGCUGUCAUAAAAAUGUGAACAUUCGUUUCAUGUCCCCGCCAUCUCCAGCUGCAAAGUGGAGCGGGGCUUAUUUUGCAACAGAAGCAAGCAUCAAGUCAAACAUUUCUGAGAAUGACCUGUUAAGCAGAAACAUGAAAAGGACCAGGACCAAGGUGGUAAGUAGCAGAGGCAAUGUGAAGCAGAGGGUAAAACCUAAGAGAUCUGUGAGUUGAGGAGCAUUCUCUGGAUUUACGAGUGGAAGCAUCACGUUAUCUGUGCCUCUUCUCCAUGGAUGCAGGACAUUGCAAUGACAACAGGCUGGAUCGUUCUUGGUUGCUUCUGUGAAAGAACAUACAUUUAGUCUGCUAGGGCUGCUGUAACAGAUCCCACAGACCGCGCAGCUUACGCAAUGUCUAUUUCUCACAGUUCCGGAGGCUGGAAGUCUCAGAUCGAGGUGUCGGCAGGGCUGGUUUCUCCUGAGGCCUCUCUCCUGGGCUCGUAGAUGGCCAUCUUCUCCCUGUGUCCUCACGUGGUUGUCCCUCCGUGUGUGUCUGUGUCCUCAUUUCCUCCUCUUAUAAGGACACCUGUCAUAUUGGAAGCCAC